UUCCCUUCCCUCGAAAUCCUCUUCCUCCUCUAAAUCUUCCCUUCCUUUUCUAUUUCUCCUUCUCUUCUCUCUUCGCUCCCUCUACUCUCUCCUCCCUUUCCUUCGAUCAUCUCCUUCUUUUUCUCUCUUCCCUCUCUCUUUCCUUGUCUCUUUACUUUCCUUUCUUCUUUCUCUCGCUUUCUCUCUCAUCUCCUCUCCUUCCCCUAAAACCCCUUUUCACUUCAGGAAUCCUAACCAACCCAUUUUCUCACUCUCCUCAAUUUCCCAAUCCCAGCACAAGCUCUUGCUAUCGAAAUCUCUGCUCCUUGCUGUUGUUUUCCUCCUUAGAUUUCAAGCACUUCGUUAUUGUGGAACUGCAGCUAUGAUUCUCGCUGAAUUGUCUGGAAACGUUACUGCUCGAUUCCUUGUUGAGGUGAAAAAGCGUAGUGUUGGUGCUAGUCGAUAUGGGAAUCAUAAUGGUAAUAAGUUAUCUGGAUUUUUGGCUCUUUUUCUUGGGAUGUUUCUGUUGUCAAUAAGUUGGGAUCGGAUUGAUUGUUUUCCAUUAUCAACUUCCUUCAUUGUUAGACAUGGAUUUUCGGUGUUUCCCAGGCAGAAUUGUUUUAGGAUUUCGCCCAUGUUGUUGCCGUUUUUAUCUGGGUUUUUGGGUUGUUAUGAACGUGUUUCAUUGAAUUCGGGUACAAUUAGGCAAUUGGGUCAGAAACGAAUUCGCUUGAUUUCAUUGUUUUAUACAACAGUUUUGCUGUUUAUUCCUG
RNAcentral lists this unclassified non-coding RNA (752 nucleotides) under Hevea brasiliensis (rubber tree). Lineage: Eukaryota; Viridiplantae; Streptophyta; Magnoliopsida; Malpighiales; Euphorbiaceae. The record is from RNAcentral.